RNAcentral lists this ribosomal RNA (433 nucleotides) under uncultured bacterium. RNAcentral's name for it is "partial 16S ribosomal RNA". It matches the Rfam family "Bacterial small subunit ribosomal RNA", at positions 29 to 507 of the family's 1533-position model. The record is from RNAcentral.
AACGAACGCUGGCGGCAGGCCUAACACAUGCAAGUCGAGCGCGCCCUUCGGGGUGAGCGGCGGACGGGUGAGUAACGCGUGGGAACGUGCCCUUUUCUACGGAAUAGCCUCGGGAAACUGAGAGUAAUACCGUAUACGCCCUUUGGGGGAAAGAUUUAUCGGAAAAGGAUCGGCCCGCGUUGGAUUAGGUAGUUGGUGGGGUAAUGGCCUACUAAGCCGACGAUCCAUAGCUGGUUUGAGAGGAUGAUCAGCCACACUGGGACUGAGACACGGCCCAGACUCCUACGGGAGGCAGCAGUGGGGAAUCUUAGACAAUGGGGGCAACCCUGAUCUAGCCAUGCCGCGUGAGUGAUGAAGGCCUUAGGGUUGUAAAGCUCUUUCAGCUGGGAAGAUAAUGACGGUACCAGCAGAAGAAGCCCCGGCUAACUCCGUG